GAUGAACGCUGGCGGCGUGCCUAAUACAUGCAAGUCGAGCGCGAGAGUGAGGAGCUUGCUCCUCAUGAUCGAGCGGCGGACGGGUGAGUAACACGUAGGCAACCUACCCUUGAGAUUGGGAUAACUACCGGAAACGGUAGCUAAUACCGGAUACGACUUUUCCACAUAAGUGGAAUGGUUAAAAGGCGGAUUUAUCUGCCGCUCAUGGAUGGGCCUGCGGUGCAUUAGCUAGUUGGUGGGGUAGUGGCUCACCAAGGCGACGAUGCAUAGCCGACCUGGGAGGGUGAUCGGCCACACUGGGACUGAGACACGGCCCAGACUCCUACGGGAGGCAGCAGUAGGGAAUCUUCCGCAAUGGACGAAAGUCUGACGGAGCAACGCCGCGUGAGUGAUGAAGGGUUUCGGCUCGUAAAACUCUGUUGUUAAGGAAGAACACUUGAGGUAGUAACUGGCCUUGAGAUGACGGUACUUAACCAGAAAGCCACGGCUAACUACGUGCCAGCCGCCGCCGUAA
RNAcentral lists this ribosomal RNA (514 nucleotides) under uncultured bacterium. RNAcentral's name for it is "partial 16S ribosomal RNA". It matches the Rfam family "Bacterial small subunit ribosomal RNA", at positions 28 to 523 of the family's 1533-position model. The record is from RNAcentral.